This 1414-nucleotide long non-coding RNA is filed under the name Homo sapiens (human). Its description in RNAcentral is "long independently transcribed non-coding RNA 2772, transcript variant 4 (LINC02772)". Lineage: Eukaryota; Metazoa; Chordata; Mammalia; Primates; Hominidae. The record is from RNAcentral.
GUUUUUUGAGAGGAGGUUCCUGGAGGACUCAUGUGAUUAUACUGAACUGACCCAGAUAACCCAGGAUAAUUCACAUCUCAAGACCCUUAAACUUGAUGACGUCUGCAAAGUCCCUUUUGCCAUAAGGUUAUAUUGGCAUAUGGUCCAGGAAUUAGUGCAGAGCCACAAUCUCAGAAAGAAAAUGAGAGUGGAUAAUGAAGACAGAUCAUCUGGGUGUAAACCUGAGGAUAUUCCAGAAUAUAGAGGUUAGAGAGAUAAGAAAGAAACUAGCAAGGAAACUAAGGAGCAGCCUCUAAGUAGAAGGAAAAGAAUGGUGAGUUGUAAUUGGAGGUGAAGACAGUUUCAAGGGAGGGUAUGUUAAUUGCUGCUGACACAUCAAGGAAGAUGAGGACUGAGCAUUGACCAUUGGAUUUAGCAACAUGGAGUUUUCUGCUGACCUGGACCUGAGCAGUUUUAAUGGAGUGGUGGGGGCAAUGCAUGACAGAAGAGAAUUCAAGACAGAAGGGACUUUUCCAAAAAAAAAAGGUAUACAAAUGGUUAUUGUGCAACGUGGAAAGAUGUUCACCAAUAUUAGUCAUUUAGGAAAUGAAAAUCAAAAGCACAAUGAGUUACCAGUUCACACUCACUCAGAAGGCAAUAAUCAAAGAAAUGGACAAUAGCAAGGGUUGGGAAGGAUAUGGAGAUAUUCUCCCACAUUGCUGGUGGAAUGUAAAAAUGGUGAAGGUGAAGGUGGAAAAACGGAAAUGAAGUAUUGAGAGGGAGAUGGAAUAUAAGAAGCUUUCUGACAGAUAACCCAAUGGAACAAACUGACUGACUGGGCAUCUGAAAUGAGUAAGAAGGAGUCAAAAAUGAGCAAAAUUAUGCUUCUCUGUGGAUGCAAAUCAUAUCUCCAUUACUUACACCCAGGAGAACUUGUAUGAAGUAGUUAACUUCUCUGGAUUUUAGCUUUUUCAUGUGUACAAUGGGGGGUUUAUGCCUCAUAGAGUUGUAGAAACUGCAAAUGAGAGACUUAUGAAAAGCCUACUGAAUGACCUUAUGAAUAAUAAUAUCAUCAGUGGAAGGUGAUUUGAGGAUGUGAUGCUGUUAUCCCUGACAUGGGCAGGAGGGAACUUGGACAAAGACCAAGGAAGAAAAUAUCUCUUCUCUGAAUGUCUUGUCUGCAUUUGAGUGCAAUGUCCUUUAUUCCGUGUCUUCCACCCAAUCAGGGCCCUACUGCCACUUAAGGGGUAAUUUCUCUUUCAAUCAUUAGUUGUUCCAGCACCAAGAAGCUUAGCCUCAGUUGAGGCACCUGAGUCAGGAGGCCAGGAUCCUUGGGAGAUUGACAACAGGAGGAUAAUCCCAUCAGAAUACUCCAGGAUUCCAACAGUAUCUUAGUCUAUUUAGCUACUAUAAUAAAAUACCUUAGAUGUAUAAA